GGGGUUUAAUUUGGGGGAGGGGGUAUUAUGAGGGGCAGCAGCCGCGGUAAUUCCAGCUCCAAAAGCGUAUAUUAAAGUUGUUGCAGUUAAAAAGCUCGUAGUUGAACCUUGGGCUUGGCUGGCCGGUCCAUCUUUUUGAUGCGUACUGGACCCAGCCGAGCCUUUCCUUCUGGGUAGCCAUUUAUGGCGAACCAGGACUUUUACUUUGAAAAAAUUAGAGUGUUCAAAGCAGGCCUUUGCUCGAAUAUAUUAGCAUGGAAUAAUAGAAUAGGACGUUAUGGUUCUAUUUUGUUGGUUUCUAGGACCAUCGUAAUGAUUAAUAGGGACGGUCGGGGGUAUCAGUAUUCAGUUGUCAGAGGUGAAAUUCUUGGAUUUACUGAAGACUAACUACUGCGAAAGCAUUUACCAAGGACGUUUUCAUUAAUCAAGAACGAAAGUUAGGGGAUCGAAGAUGAUCUAGAUACCCGUCGUUUAUUAACGG
Molecule: ribosomal RNA, 481 nt
Filed under: Candida albicans
Lineage: Eukaryota; Fungi; Ascomycota; Pichiomycetes; Serinales; Debaryomycetaceae
Description: SSU rRNA
Rfam family: Eukaryotic small subunit ribosomal RNA
Source: RNAcentral